CAUCUGGACAACCAAGGCCAACAAGUCUUCCCACAAUAAUACUCUCCCCUAAAUUCCUCUAAAGAUUCGUUUCCUGAAAGCUCGAGUUUUGUGGUGAUCGCUUUGAAAUGUAAGGCAGGCCCCUGAUUUUGACUUCUCAAUCAGUCCUCCACCACCAGCCACCACCUUUCACAUUCAAAUGAGAUGUCCCGUUUAGUGUGCUAUCACAGCACUUCGGUAACCAAAAAUCAAAGCCCCUGAACCGAGUUAAGACUUUUAACAGACAGUAAUUCCUGAUGGGGAUCUUAUAUCACAAAGCAGGUCAUUCAGAUCUGAUCUUUCCAUGUAAGUGCUUGGCCAAUCAGUUUCCACACAUUUUUGUUUUUUUCAGUCAUGGAUAUUUAUUGCUUUUUAGUCACCCGCCAUCCAUAUCAAUGGGCAAAGCUUGACAGAGUGUAUACAAAUUGUGUUUUUCAGUUUCGCCAAUCACUCCUUCCUUGUCUCUGCUACCAUUUUCCAUUCUGGGCAUAUGUACAGGUAUUUCUGUAUCUCUGUAUACACAAACCUUUGUUUUUCUAAAAAAAUAAAAUUGCAGCAAACAUUACCAGCCUUAUCCAGCCAGUUGCUCUUUCACAAGAGGCAAACUGGAAGCUUGUGCUUUUUUGUGGGGGAAGCAAUAUCCAUUCCAAUAUGUGUGGUUUUUGGUUGUUUUUUUUAUGUGAUACUGAAGUCUUGUGCAAGAGUGCAAAUGUGAUAAAGUUUAUUUAAAACACACAUUUUUAUUUAUUUUAAAAAAUCAAUUUUAGGCACUGCUGCAAUUGUGGUUGCCCAGGUAGUCCUCCACUUUUACUGUGCAGAUAUCUUAAAUAAUAUCUCCUGUAAACUGGGCAUGUGUCAAUCAGUGGAAGUGGGUUUCUUUCCUUUGGUGCUGGGAGCCAGUGAAAACAAAGGUUGUUCUCAGGUGAUGAGCAAACAGAAGUUUGGUGUGGCGAGAUAAUUUGAAAUGUUGCCUCACAUUACAAACUGCCCACUCCCCAAAAAUGUACUAUUUUUACUUAUUGGAUUUUUUGCAGCAAGGAGAAUUUUUAUUAAUUUCUUUAUUUUUAAAGCACAGGUUGGUAUUUUGAUGACACAUAACAUCAUGUGAAUUCUGCAAAAGGUUUGUGGACAUGAGCAACACGAAUUUCGCAAUAAACUUCCCUCUGGAAGCAUUCAAACUGUACAGAUAACUUGAAGGGGGAAAAACACCACCCAAGUCACAAUAUCACAGUUAUGAUGAAUGGUGGGAUGUUUCCUAUAAUAAAAGAUAACAAAACGAUAGUUUACAGAAAUGGAAAAGUUACAAAUUACUGGUAACAGGAAAACUGAUUUAUGAUCACUCAAAUGAGGAAAUGGAUUUAAUUAUAACCCAGGACGAGAGGACCUGUACUUUGAACAUAACAAGCAUGAAUAAUGAUCUGUUAAGAAUAAACAUAUAGGGAGCAGGAUGUGUUCUUAUAGAGGACAAGGCAGACUGUAAUUUCAGAAUGUUCAUUAAAGCUUUGGCUGACUAGAAUGACUCAGGAAUAACUUUACUAAUUCCACUGGACAGACAGGGGACUCAUGGAAUCAAUUCACUGAGCGACUUCCCAACCACCGACCUUCUGAUCGGCAAGCACAAGUGGUUUAGAUCACAGCGCCACCUGCAUCCCUGGACACAUAUGAACAACAAGGCACUGUGCAGCCUGCCAAUGUACACACUGAAAUGGCUCAUAUAUUUGGGGCGGUUGAUAACGUUGUUGGGCUAUUCAGAUGUUCUUUAAUCAAAAUAAUACCAUUAAUCCAAGGAACAAACACUCUCACAUGGCGUUAAAUCAGAGAAGAGGCUGCAGUAAUUUGUAAUUGAUGAAGUGCUGCGGGGAGCUUGUCUUGGGGCAGGUGGUCCGCCUUGGGAUUGAGAAAAGAGGCAUUAACUGUGUCCUUGUUUCCAGCUGUGAAAUGUUGCAGGGUGUGUGACACUGAAACCUCCACCUAAAUUAAUUUUGAGCUGCCAGGGAAGGCUAAGUUCUUCUUAGAACAUGACUCAUCUCUCCCUGUCUUCUCCAGUUAGGCCGACUGCUAAUAGGAAAGCCAGAAUAAUUGUGAAGCAUGAAUAUUUCAAGACCCUCAAAAUGGCAGUCUGCUUGCCUGAGGCAACUCCUAACUGCCAAGAUCUUUCCAGCGUGUCAACUGGCAAUGUUUGCUCCUCCCUCCCACCAGAAAAAUAGCAGCAGGAACAAAACUGUGGGAUAUGAACAGCUAAGGUCAAAUGUGGAAAGACGAGCCUGUUGAACUUCCCACAUUUAUUUAUUCAUCGUAUGUUUAUCGCUCCCUGCAGCCAUAUUCCCAUGGGUGGCAGUUUACAAAAGGGGUGGUUUGUCUCCCUAUCCAGACUCAAGUUUUUCUCCUUUCCUUUCGCCUCAGUAGGAUAAAAAGAGAGCUCUGCUGGAUCAGGCCAAAGAUCAAUCUAGUCCAUCAUCCUGUUUCAAAAAGGGUCAGUCAGAUGAAUCUCAAAAGCCCACAGAAGAGUCUGAGGGCAACAGCUACCCCUACUGUUUGCCUUACCCCAGAGGCAACCAACAUGGUGUCCUCCAGAUUUUGAUGGACUCCCAUCAUCCCUAACCAUAGUGGGGGCUGAUAGGAACUGGACAUCAGGUGGGAAAGAAGACAUGAACAAGCGUAGACUUAGUUGGCUCCGUCUGUCACUGGCUCUGGCUCCCCUCAUGGCUGGCCUCCAUGUCUUCUUCUCCACCAGUCCCAAUGGGCACCGGGCAAUGCUGGGGCAUUAGCAUAUAUCAUCCUCUUUCUCUUUUAUAUUUACACCUUUAGCUCUUGACUUGAGAGAACUUUUAACCCCACCAUCUGAGUCAGCUUUGUUUUGUCUUGGGGAAGUUCAGAUUAUUUCGUUUUAGAUUACAGGAGACUUUUGAUGAUGACAAAGCUUUGGGAGCUGUGGGUUAAAGGCAUCUUCUAAAACGAAACUGGCGGAAAGCGCUACUUAGUCAAUACAGAUUUUACAUCCCACUCAGUGUGAUUCAGCACCAGGGAAUUCACAGCUUGUCUUAUUUUAUUAUUUUUAAACUGCCCUAGGUGGAAUUUUCAGGCAAGGAAGCCUGUCAAAUAAUUACUACUUGGCGAGUUGGCCACGCAACAUUCGAGGAGACAGAUUGAAGGAUUUGGCUGGAGAACACACAUUUGGUUAAUGUUCUGGUCCUACAUGCAUUCUGGGUGAAGGAAGGUUGAGGAAUGAGGGGUGAUCAUUGUUUAGCACAUUAUUGUACUCUGAUUGUUACCUACUUUCGAAAAUCGAUGAAAUAUUAUUUUAAAAAGGAUGUGGCUCCUGAAAGCCUCCCUAAAUUAUUAAAAACUACUCAGCUCUCCCGCUCUCCCAAGGGCCAGGCCUACAAUUCUUGAGGUUUGUUCGUACACAGAUUGUGGUUAGGGAACUUGCUACCAGCCUGACAGGCUUUCCUGGCAAUAGCAUCUAGUGCAGUGAGUGUUAAGCUUCAAUCCACCACAAUGCCCUGGUGUGCCCUGGAGUCAGGGGCAUUCUGGGAAAUUGAGCAGCAGCCAGACUUGGCCACCCAGCCCCUGCUGGGGUAUUAAAACAGCAGUGGGCCCUGCUAGUGGUGGGUCCCUGGCAGCUGCACAAAGAUGUGAUGUGUUGAUACCAGCCUUGUUUUCUGGAAUGUUCCACAGGACUACUGAAUGGAAUCAGAGCAGGGAGAAGAUCUUGAUGUGUCUAGGAAGGCUACAUCUGCUCAGUUAUCUCAGAAGCUCCUCACACUUUGCUAUCCAGUGCCUAAUUUCUAGAGAAAUGAAAGAUGGAUUUUAUGUCUGACUGCAAGCAGCACCUCUCUGAUUUGGAUGCCUUCUGCCCCCUAAUCUCUGCUGUGUGGCAACUCUCUAAUUUAGUCAGUGGCGAGAAAAGUGCACUUCACGUCUGCUCAGGAUCACUUCCAACUCUUCCGAGGUCAUGAUGUGAUAGGGUCCAGCUCUGGCAUGGAAAACAGAUUGUGAGGCUGAGUAUCAGAACAAAUUGAGCCCUUAAUGCUCUCCCCCAACUUCAGCUGCAGAGAAAUUGGAACCUAUUUAUUUCAAGUAUGGCAAAAACAUGAUCUGAAGAAUCAUACAGGAAGAGAUUAAAAUAGCUCAGUGGCUUUUUCAUUUAUGAUUCCAGUUUGGCCGUCUAAAUGGUUCAGUUGUAUAUGUCCUUGUUCCUAUCUCACAUACAGAGCAUCCCUCAUGCCACCCACAACCAGGAAAUUAUUCCGUCUGGCAGGUAGAUGACACUUCACACCUACAAUCUUGCCUCUUGCUCCCUGUGAACAUGUGAAGAUAUGUAUGUCAGCCUUUGCCAACCUCCUUCCCUUCACCCUCCAGAUGUUUUGUACUACAACUCCCAUCAGCCCUCAUGGGAGUUGUAGUCUAAAACAUCUGGAGGGCACCAAGUUGGUGAUGGCUGUUCUGUGACUUUACAUGUUCAAACCUGAGUAACUAGCCUCUGUCUAGAUGAGGGUGUUAAGUAUGACUGUUUAACGCACAUUGAAAGUGGAGAUAUAUAAUGCGUCUGUAUGGUAUAUUGUGGAGUAUGGUUGGAAAUUUCCAUGAAGUUAGAGAAGAGCCUACCUGGUUAAUCAUUAGUGGGGAUGUAUCUCUGUGGCUUAGCCACAGGGUCAUCAGCUUGCAGUCACAUGAAAAGGAUUGUAUUUCAGGUCUAUGCAUAUGCUAACUCAUAGGGAUCCAUGUUGGGUGCCUCUUUGUUCUAAGCUGCUGAAGAGAAUGGAUGUGACUUUCUCUGUCUCCAGCAAAACAGCCUGAGGCUGAAAGAGACUGCAGUGGAUAAGAGCUUGGAGCUCUGAUUUUAGCUCAGAAUGCAAGUUAUUUGUAACCUAAGUUUUUAUGCCUCGUGCUGGGAGUUGUGUAAGGAAUAAGCAACUAAGUGAAUGUAAUUUUAUUUGUUUAAAAUUGUUUAAAGUUAAGUUCUGUGAGUAAAGCUUUUUGAACCGUA
Molecule: non-coding RNA, 5008 nt
Organism: Podarcis lilfordi (Lilford's wall lizard)
Lineage: Eukaryota; Metazoa; Chordata; Lepidosauria; Squamata; Lacertidae
Source: the annotation of a GenBank genome assembly